GGUGGUUCUCAGGUGACACAGCCCGGGAUCAGGCUCCCUCCUCUCUGGUUCUGGGUGCAUCCCUGAGAACUGCA
Molecule: non-coding RNA, 74 nt
Organism: Myotis brandtii (Brandt's bat)
Lineage: Eukaryota; Metazoa; Chordata; Mammalia; Chiroptera; Vespertilionidae
Source: Rfam